Molecule: non-coding RNA, 129 nt
Organism: Podarcis lilfordi (Lilford's wall lizard)
Lineage: Eukaryota; Metazoa; Chordata; Lepidosauria; Squamata; Lacertidae
Source: the annotation of a GenBank genome assembly
UAUGUGUGUGUGUGUGUGUGUGUGUACACGCAGACACACAAUCAAUACAUACACAAAACACACACACAUAAAAUCAAGAGGCUUUUAAAGUUAGUUUUAUAUACACACACACACACACACACACACACA